This 1575-nucleotide long non-coding RNA is filed under the name Dromaius novaehollandiae (emu). RNAcentral's name for it is "lncRNA (ENSDNVG00000013397.1)". Lineage: Eukaryota; Metazoa; Chordata; Aves; Casuariiformes; Dromaiidae. The record is from RNAcentral.
CAAAGGUCCAUUCUUCUGCCAGAGAUUUAUUGCGACGAGCAGAGGCGCUGGGAUGCGAUAAUUGCCUUCAUUCCCGGACGAAGACCCUGGUGAACAAAAGGCAGUUGCCCGUGAAUCCAUGGUGUGACUCAAGCAUCCGCUCGGAGGGGAGGAGUGAGAGCUGUGUGCCUGUUGCUGUAGCAAAAGCGAAUGGGUGUUAAUCAAAAGGGCAGCUCUGCCCUUUGCAGCAGAGAGCACAGCAGCCCUGCGGAGGUGGCCUGGGCCCUGCAGCCUUCGAAUCCGCCCUCCCGCACUGCCCCGGGGCCUCUGCUUGGGGGAACGCCAGAGCACUAGCGCUGCCGGCUCCGCUCCGCGAGGAAAGCGCGCCAGGGACRCGCUGCGAGCGUCCUGGGGAGCUCCUGCCUCUGACCCCCUGCUCUGCAGCCCUGCCCCGCUCAUCGCGUCAGGCCAGCGCUUCUGUUUGUCCUCACAGAAGCUCUUCUAGAGCUGGUCGUCUUCACCUGGACUCCCGACCCUGCUCCUGCUCAUCGUAUCAGCACGGCCUUUUUUCUUCUCCUGCCGGAGAGCUCUGUUAGAGCUAGCCUCCUUCCCCGGACUCCUGUGGACACUAUUACACUCUUGCUGCCAGCAGGAUCUCUAGUAACUUCCCCGCUGCCUUAUUUUUCUGCGAAGAUAAUGUUCCAGAUUUCCUGCGGUAGCGUCGUCGGGGACCUCCGUGGAAAAGUGCGGAGCUGGUGCUGCUAGCAGGGGUCGAGGAGCAGGGCGCAUCGCGGGCGCCACUCCGUCAGCAGAGCGCGGGGCUGCACGGUGGUUGCAGGCUGGCCGGUAACUUCCCUGUUCUCGCUCUCCUUCACUCGCGGAUCAGUCAAACGCUGAGUCAAACAUACAUCUUCCUGGAGGGCUCGGAGAUAGUUGUCUGUUUGACAGUUGUCUGCUGAACUUUGAAAGAUCAUUUGUGAAAAUAUUUUUGAGUCAAGGCUUCAGCUUUGACUUCCUUAGUCCCUUAGCAGCACGGUGCUUAAAUAACGUGCUUUUACUGUGUGCUCGGGAGAGUCCCCUUGGCACCAAARGGAUUACUCAAGGCCAGCAGUGCCAGUGCUGAAAGACAGCUUUAGGGCUUGUUUGUAUUGGAGAUUGCAAUGGCAAUUUCCAUGUUUGUAUCUUUUCAUGUCUAUAUCUGUGACUUUGUCAGUGCAGUUACCUGACUAGACCUUAUUUUGCCCUACAUGCGGUAUUUCCCUCGAGUAGGGGGUGCUGCGGGGGCUGACGAGCGGAGCCAUGAAGUUYGGCAGCUCUCCCAGAUCACUCUGUGGUACUGACUUGAAUUAUGAGGUACCAAUUGUGGAAGGAGGCUAGAUUUACUGAUCUGCAGGAUCUAUACUGGUGCUGUAAUCCUGUGGACUUAAAAGAAAUUAGAAAACUUUCUGUGAUUUGAUGCUGCUUAAUAAUGUAACUUAUGAUGGCUUUAUUAAAAUGGCUUUAAUUAGUUGAUUCAGAUAAAGAGGCUCUGCUGAGUUGCCUGUCUGUGCAUUAAUGUUACACUUCUAUAUAUGAUUUAUGAUAAAUUACCCUGUA